This 483-nucleotide ribosomal RNA is filed under the name uncultured bacterium. RNAcentral's name for it is "bacterial SSU rRNA". It matches the Rfam family "Bacterial small subunit ribosomal RNA", at positions 30 to 499 of the family's 1533-position model. The record is from RNAcentral.
AUUGAACGCUGGCGGCAUGCCUAACACAUGCAAGUCGAACGGCAGCACGGGAGCUUGCUCCUGGUGGCGAGUGGCGGACGGGUGAGUAAUGCAUAGGAAUCUGCCCAGUAGCGGGGGACAACUUGGGGAAACUCAAGCUAAUACCGCAUGCGCCCUACGGGGGAAAGCGGGGGACCUUCGGGCCUCGCACUAUUGGAUGAGCCUAUGUCAGAUUAGCUUGUUGGUGGGGUAACGGCCUACCAAGGCGACGAUCUGUAGCUGGUCUGAGAGGACGAUCAGCCACACUGGGACUGAGACACGGCCCAGACUCCUACGGGAGGCAGCAGUGGGGAAUAUUGCACAAUGGGCGAAAGCCUGAUGCAGCAAUGCCGCGUGUGUGAAGAGGGCCUUGCGGGUUUGUAAAAGCACUUUCAGUAGGGAGGAAACAGUUAGCCGGUUAAUAUCCGGUUGCCUUGACGUUACCUACAGAAGAAGCACCGGCUU